RNAcentral lists this ribosomal RNA (120 nucleotides) under Aquila chrysaetos chrysaetos. Lineage: Eukaryota; Metazoa; Chordata; Aves; Accipitriformes; Accipitridae. The record is from RNAcentral.
GCCUACGGCCAUACCACCCUGAGAACGCCCGAUCUCGUCUGAUCUCGGAAGCGAAGCAGGGUCGGGCCCGGUUAGUACUUGGAUGGGGAGACCGCCUGGGAAUACCGGGUGCUGUAGGCU